Molecule: ribosomal RNA, 30 nt
Filed under: Entrophospora claroidea
Lineage: Eukaryota; Fungi; Glomeromycota; Glomeromycetes; Entrophosporales; Entrophosporaceae
Also listed under: 1 other name
Description: partial 28S ribosomal RNA
Source: RNAcentral
UGACCUCAAAUCAGGCAAGAAUACCCGCUG